This 479-nucleotide ribosomal RNA is filed under the name uncultured bacterium. Its description in RNAcentral is "partial 16S ribosomal RNA". It matches the Rfam family "Bacterial small subunit ribosomal RNA", at positions 28 to 507 of the family's 1533-position model. The record is from RNAcentral.
GAUGAACGCUGGCGGCGUGCUUAACACAUGCAAGUCGAGCGAAGCGCUUACGACAGAACCUUCGGGGGAAUAUGUAAGGGACUGAGCGGCGCACGUGUGAGUAACGCGUGGGUAACCUGCCUCAUAUAGGGGGAUAACAGUUGGAAACGGCUGCUAAUACCGCAUAAGCGCACAGUAUCGCAUGAUACGGUUUGAAAAACUCCGUUGGUAUGGGAUGGACCCGAGUCUGAUUAGCUAGUUGGAGGGGUAACGGCCCACCAGGGCGACGAUCAGUAGCCGGGAUGAGAGGGUGAACGGACACAUUGGGACUGGGACACGGCACAGACUCCUACGGGAGGCAGCAGUGGGGAAUAUUGCACAAUGGGGGAAACCCUGAUGCAGCGACGCCGCGUGAAGGAAGAAGUAUCUCGGUAUGUAAACUUCUAUCAGCAGGGAAGAAAAUGACGGUACCUGACUAAGAAGCCCCGGCUAACUACGUG